UCAUCGAGCUGUUAAUAAUUUAUUUCUACAAUUUUGUUGCAAACUUUAAGCUUCAUUGGUUGCAAAUGCAUGAAGAAUUCAAGAUAGAAUUUCUUGUUUCUGAAAAACCGAUGUAUGUUUCUGAUAUAGUCGAUAUUUAUCGACUAGAACCCAGAUUAUUUUAAAGGUUAGUUUUACCGUGUUACAUACGGAGUGACAAUAUUAAUAUACCAUGUCAAAUCAGAAACAAUGUACAAAACUCGGUUGGGCAAAACAUUAGUGGCCACUAGA
Lucilia cuprina (Australian sheep blowfly) is the source of this 270-nucleotide long non-coding RNA. RefSeq lists it as uncharacterized. NCBI's taxonomy places the organism in Eukaryota, Metazoa, Arthropoda, Insecta, Diptera, Calliphoridae. The record is from RefSeq and is a predicted model, not a curated record. The transcript has 3 exons.